Molecule: transfer RNA, 72 nt
Filed under: Vallitaleaceae bacterium
Lineage: Bacteria; Bacillati; Bacillota; Clostridia; Lachnospirales; Vallitaleaceae
Description: tRNA-Gln
Rfam family: tRNA
About the family: Transfer RNA (tRNA) molecules are approximately 80 nucleotides in length. Their secondary structure includes four short double-helical elements and three loops (D, anti-codon, and T loops).
Source: RNAcentral
UGGGCAUUCGCCAAGCGGUAAGGCACAGGACUUUGACUCCUGCAUUCGAAGGUUCAAAUCCUUCAUGCCCAG